GAUGAACGCUGGCGGCGUGCUUAAUACAUGCAAGUCGAACGGAGACAGUAGCAAUAUUGUCUUAGUGGCGAACGGGUGAGUAACGCGUUGGUGACCUGCCCCGAAGUAGGGGAUAACAGUCCGAAAGGACUGCUAAUACCUUAUAUGGUCGUUUGGAUUAGAUGCCUUACGACUAAAGGAUUUAUUCGCUUCGGGAGGGGCCUGCGUCCCAUCAGCUAGUUGGUAAGGUAACGGCCUACCAAGGCGAUGACGGGUAGGGGACCUGAGAGGGUGGCCCCCCACAAUGGAACUGAAACACGGUCCAUACACCUACGGGAGGCUG
Molecule: ribosomal RNA, 322 nt
Filed under: uncultured Chloroflexota bacterium
Lineage: Bacteria; Bacillati; Chloroflexota
Description: bacterial SSU rRNA
Rfam family: Bacterial small subunit ribosomal RNA
Source: RNAcentral